RNAcentral lists this long non-coding RNA (489 nucleotides) under Ananas comosus (pineapple). RNAcentral's name for it is "long non-coding RNA (ACOM_LNC025164)". The record is from RNAcentral. Lineage: Eukaryota; Viridiplantae; Streptophyta; Magnoliopsida; Poales; Bromeliaceae.
UGCCUAAAAUAUAAUGUCUUCAAAUCUCACAGAGUUUAUAUAUUUUUACAGCAUCCAAUCAAAUAUUUCCACAUUAUAUAAUGAGUAGGGUCACUACACUCUUAUGAGUAUAGAGUCCUUCGUACUCAUAAGUUGUUUUCGAUGAUGGAGCUUCUGAAUCGACAAUCCACUUCGUUAAAUAUGAUCUAUAGUAUUUGAAAUUUCUAGAAAAAUAAAUUUCGUAAUUUUUCGAAAUCAUAAUAAAAUCUAUCAAUCGGGUAUAAAAUAAACAAUCAAAAUCGAGCGACGUCCUAAAAAUCGGAGUUAUUGAUCUUUAUUUAGGCAGUGAAUAAAAUUUUCUAUCAAAAAUUUAACUUAUGUUGAAAAAUUAUUAAAUUUGAUUAAUAAAAAUUUUAAAUGUUUUAGAUAAUGUUUAACGAUAUAGAUCGUCGAUUCGGAAUCGCUAUCAUCGUACGUACUCAUAAGAGUAUAAUAGCCGAACUCUUAUAU